AGCAGCCGCGGUAAUUCCAGCUCCAAUAGCGUAUAUUAAAGUUGUUGCAGUUAAAAAGCUCGUAGUUGAAUUUCGGGGUUAGCAAGUUGGUCGUGCCCUUGGUAUGCACUGGCUUUGCUGAUUCCUCCUUCUUGAAGAACUGUGAUGCUAUUAAUUUGGUGUUGCAGGGAAACAGGACUGUUACUUUGAAAAAUUGAGUGUUUAAAGCAGGCUAACGCUUGAAUACAUUAGCAUGGAAUAAUGAAAUAGGACGUUUGAUCCUAUUUUGUUGGUUUCUAGGAUUGACGUAAUGAUUAAUAGGGAUAGUUGGGGGCAUUAGUAUUCAAUUGUCAGAGGUGAAAUUCUUGGAUUUAUUGAAGACUAACUACUGCAAAAGCAUUUGCCAAGGAUGUUUUCAUUAAUCAAGAACGAAAGUUAGGGGAUCGAAGACGAUCAGAUACCGUCGUAGUCUUAACCAUAAACUAUGCCGACUAGGGAUCGGAUGAU
RNAcentral lists this ribosomal RNA (486 nucleotides) under uncultured Glomus. RNAcentral describes it as "SSU rRNA". It matches the Rfam family "Eukaryotic small subunit ribosomal RNA", at positions 569 to 1061 of the family's 1831-position model. The record is from RNAcentral. Lineage: Eukaryota; Fungi; Glomeromycota; Glomeromycetes; Glomerales; Glomeraceae.